Molecule: transfer RNA, 72 nt
Filed under: Babesia microti strain RI
Lineage: Eukaryota; Apicomplexa; Aconoidasida; Piroplasmida; Babesiidae
Rfam family: tRNA
About the family: Transfer RNA (tRNA) molecules are approximately 80 nucleotides in length.
Source: Rfam by way of RNAcentral
GGUUGCUUGGUCUAGUGGUAUGAUUCUCGCUUAGGGUGCGAGAGGUCCCGGGUUCAAUUCCCGGAGCAGCCC